GUUGACCUCGGAUCAGGUAGGGAUACCCGCUGAACUUAAGCAUAUCAAUAAGCGGAGGAAAAGAAACCAA
This 70-nucleotide ribosomal RNA is filed under the name Thedgonia ligustrina. Its description in RNAcentral is "partial 28S ribosomal RNA". It matches the Rfam family "Eukaryotic large subunit ribosomal RNA", at positions 1 to 68 of the family's 3401-position model. The record is from RNAcentral. Lineage: Eukaryota; Fungi; Ascomycota; Leotiomycetes; Helotiales.